Molecule: non-coding RNA, 257 nt
Organism: Paramuricea clavata
Lineage: Eukaryota; Metazoa; Cnidaria; Anthozoa; Malacalcyonacea; Plexauridae
Source: the annotation of a GenBank genome assembly
UAUUCAUAUGGCUGGACCAUCUUGCCAUUGCCACAAUGUCUGAUGAUCAAACAGGCUUUAAAAUCAGGUUACAAUGCAUGCUUGAAAAUAUGCAACAAUUUCACUGCUAAUAAUAUUCCAGAAAAUCCUUCCUCUUGGGCAGAUCUGGACUGAUUUGUCAGAAAGGGAUUGGAGUUUUUCUACUUGUGAUUGGGCAAGGGGAGCUAAGCCAAGGGUGCUGAGUCAGAGUCAAACUCAUGUGAACAGCUUCUAAGUCC